This is a long non-coding RNA of Eptesicus fuscus (big brown bat), 548 nucleotides long. RefSeq lists it as uncharacterized. The transcript has 3 exons. The record is from RefSeq and is a predicted model, not a curated record. NCBI's taxonomy places the organism in Eukaryota, Metazoa, Chordata, Mammalia, Chiroptera, Vespertilionidae.
AUGUCCACCCUCAGCCAGAUCAUCCCAAUGAUCCACAUCUUGAACAGGAAAAUUGAGAUGCUGUUUGAGGAGACUAUGGGCAUUGACACCAUGCUGAAGUCUUUGAAGGACUUCACCACCAACUGUCUGCCACCCUCCAUGAACCCAGUUCUGAAGUGUGUGAGGAGUGCAGAGAAUGUUCUGGAAGAUAACUGUUUACUACAACAGAGACACGGCCAUUGAAGACAAAAGUAAACUUAGAUGUAUCAUGACAUGUCAGUUAUAUGGUGAUUGAUAAGAAGAACUUUCCCAUUUCUUGUUUCUGCAUUCAGGUUUCACAUGGCCGGUGAACUAGGAGAUGUCCCGACUGUUGAUGGUAUCUGCACUCUCCAAAUAAUGUAAAAGGAGAAGAUCCACGCUAUUUGGAGUAACUUCAAGGUCCUUGAUGUAGCUGAUAAUCUGCUAGUCACUUGGAUACUGAACGUCUACCCAUCUGAUGUGCUCAGUGUCUCCGUUUCCACAAUUAAAGUCGGUAUCCAUCUACUAGUAAAGCAUGUUGAGUAAGUGUU